CCACCGGAGCUUGCUCCACCGGAAAAAGAGGAGUGGCGAACGGGUGAGUAACACGUGGGUAACCUGCCCAUCAGAAGGGGAUAACACUUGGAAACAGGUGCUAAUACCGUAUAACAAUCGAAACCGCAUGGUUUUGAUUUGAAAGGCGCUUUCGGGUGUCGCUGAUGGAUGGACCCGCGGUGCAUUAGCUAGUUGGUGAGGUAACGGCUCACCAAGGCGACGAUGCAUAGCCGACCUGAGAGGGUGAUCGGCCACAUUGGGACUGAGACACGGCCCAAACUCCUACGGGAGGCAGCAGUAGGGAAUCUUCGGCAAUGGACGAAAGUCUGACCGAGCAACGCCGCGUGAGUGAAGAAGGUUUUCGGAUCGUAAAACUCUGUUGUUAGAGAAGAACAAGGAUGAGAGUAACUGUUCAUCCCUUGACGGUAUCUAACCAGAAAGCCACGGCUAACUACGUGCCAGCAGCCGCGGUAAUACGUAGGUGGCAAGCGUUGUCCGGAUUUAUUGGGCGUAAAGCGAGCGCAGGCGGUUUCUUAAGUCUGAUGUGAAAGCCCCCGGCUC
Molecule: ribosomal RNA, 561 nt
Filed under: Enterococcus hirae
Lineage: Bacteria; Bacillati; Bacillota; Bacilli; Lactobacillales; Enterococcaceae
Description: bacterial SSU rRNA
Rfam family: Bacterial small subunit ribosomal RNA
Source: RNAcentral